This 391-nucleotide ribosomal RNA is filed under the name Scytonema sp. VB511292. RNAcentral describes it as "bacterial SSU rRNA". It matches the Rfam family "Bacterial small subunit ribosomal RNA", at positions 354 to 763 of the family's 1533-position model. Lineage: Bacteria; Bacillati; Cyanobacteriota; Cyanophyceae; Nostocales; Scytonemataceae. The record is from RNAcentral.
UAGGGGAAUUUUCCGCAAUGGGCGAAAGCCUGACGGAGCAAUACCGCGUGAGGGAGGAAGGCUCUUGGGUUGUAAACCUCUUUUCUCAGGAAAUAAAAAUGAAGGUAUCUGAGGAAUCAGCAUCGGCUAACUCCGUGCCAGCAGCCGCGGUAAUACGGAGGAUGCAAGCGUUAUCCGGAAUGAUUGGGCGUAAAGGGUCCGCAGGUGGCAGUGAAAGUCUGCUGUCAAAGAGUGCAGCUCAACCGCAUAAAGGCAGUGGAAACUACACAGCUAGAGUAAGUUAGGGGCAGAGGGAAUUCCGGUGUAGCGGUGAAAUGGGUAGAGAUCAGGAAGAACCCCGGGGCGAAAGCGCUCUGCUAGGACGCAACUGACACCUGAGGAUGAAUGGAAA